CCUACGGGAGGCAGCAGUGAGGAAUAUUGGUCAAUGGGCGGGAGCCUGAACCAGCCAAGCCGCGUGAGGGAAGACGGUACUAUGUAUUGUAAACCUCUUUUGUCGGGGAACAAAAGCCGGGACUAGUCCCGGGCUGAGGGUACCCGAAGAAAAAGCAUCGGCUAACUCCGUGCCAGCAGCCGCGGUAAUACGGAGGAUGCGAGCGUUAUCCGGAUUUAUUGGGUUUAAAGGGUGCGCAGGCGGCAUGUUAAGUCAGCGGUAAAAUUGCGGGGCUCAACCCCGUCGAGCCGUUGAAACUGGCAGGCUGGAGUUGGAGAGAAGUACGCGGAAUGCGUGGUGUAGCGGUGAAAUGCAUAGAUAUCGCGCAGAACCCCGAUUGCGAAGGCAGCGUACCGGCGCCACACUGACGCUGAGGCACGAAAGCGUGGGUAUCGAACAGGAUUAGAUACCCGUGUAGUC
Molecule: ribosomal RNA, 459 nt
Filed under: uncultured bacterium
Lineage: Bacteria
Description: partial 16S ribosomal RNA
Rfam family: Bacterial small subunit ribosomal RNA
Source: RNAcentral